This 322-nucleotide ribosomal RNA is filed under the name uncultured eukaryote. Its description in RNAcentral is "partial 18S ribosomal RNA". It matches the Rfam family "Eukaryotic small subunit ribosomal RNA", at positions 1470 to 1796 of the family's 1831-position model. The record is from RNAcentral.
CCCUUAGAUGUCCUGGGCCGCACGCGCGCUACACUGACAUGUUCAACAAGUUUCUCCUAGUUCGACAGGACUGGGAAAUCUUUGAACGCAUGUCGUGAUAGGGAUAGAUCAUUGCAAUUAUUGAUCUUGAACGAGGAAUUCCUAGUAAACGCGAGUCAUCAGCUCGCAUUGAUUACGUCCCUGCCCUUUGUACACACCGCCCGUCGCACCUACCGAUUGAAUGUUUCGGUGAAGAUUCCGGAUAGGACUGAUUUGAUUUAUUUCAUUUCUGACCCAAAAGCUAUCUAAACCUCAACAUUUAGAGGAAGGUGAAGUCGUAACA